This 720-nucleotide ribosomal RNA is filed under the name uncultured eukaryote. RNAcentral's name for it is "SSU rRNA". It matches the Rfam family "Eukaryotic small subunit ribosomal RNA", at positions 618 to 1337 of the family's 1831-position model. The record is from RNAcentral.
GUUAAAAAGCUCGUAGUUGGAUCUCGGCGGUCUGAGGGCGGUUCGCUUGAUUGAGUGCUACUGCUCUAUAGGCCGUGGUUUUGCCAGAGGUCUCGGGGUGCUCUUAACCGAGUGUCCUGCGAUGCUGGCAGGUUUACUUUGAAAAAAUUAGAGUGCUCAAAGCAGGCUUUUACGCCUGAAUAUUCGUGCAUGGAAUAAUAGAAUAGGAAGUCGUUUCUAUUUUGUUGGUUUUCGGAAAUCGACUUAAUGAUUAAUAGGGACAGUCGGGGGCAUUUGUAUUCAAACGACAGAGGUGAAAUUCUUGGACCGUUUGAAGACAAACUACUGCGAAAGCAUUUGCCAAGAAUGUUUUCAUUAAUCAAGAGCGAAAGUUAGAGGUUCGAAGGCGAUUAGAUACCGCCCUAGUUCUAACCAUAAACGAUGCCAGCUAGCGAUCUGCCGACGUUUUCUUUGUAGACUCGGCAGGAAGCUUCCGGGAAACCAAAGCAUUUGGGUUCCAGGGGAAGUAUGGUUGCAAAGCUGAAACUUAAAGGAAUUGACGGAAGGGCACCACCAGGAGUGGAGCCUGUGGCUUAAUUUGACUCAACACGGGAAAUCUCACCAGGCCCGGACACUGGAAGGAUUGACAGAUUGAUAGCUCUUUCUUGAUUCGGUGGGUGGUGGUGCAUGGCCGUUCUUAGUUGGUGGAGUGAUUUGUCUGGUUAAUUCCGAUAACGAACG